CGAGGCUGUCUGGUUUAUUGUAAAACUGUUUAGUUUAGAUCAAACUCUCUGAUAUUAGUGAAACUGCCUCAUCUGGGAAAGGAAAUGACUUAAAAGUGAUGUAGCGGUUCUUAAAGGGAAUCAGACAGGGGGAGACGCAUGGAACUUGGCUGUCUUGCAUGCUGAAUUUAAUUGGUAUUACUAUUAACUCAUCAGAUGGUGAAAGGCAGAACAGUAUUUCACAACAGCUUUUAUUAUGCACUUUGCUAAAAAUGAGGAAAUAAAGUGGGUGUGCAGAAAGCAAUGAUGUAAACAGAGGAAUUUUCACUCUAUCAUAUCACUCAUCACUUUCUCUGACAGCAGAGCUUCCCUGACUUAUUCAUGCACUGGGGAAACCAGGGCAGACGCGGAUGAGCUGUGAUCCCCCACCCUGCCUAUGACACGAUCUCACUCAACUAUGAGCUGUAGACCUACUGCAGGCAUCUGAAUUUUAACUGCAUUAAACCAGUCUGGACCAGCUGCAUGAUGAAGCGGAGUUUUGCUUGGAACCAGAGCCGAUGAUGCUGUUAUCCACCCAUCACAGCUUACCAGGACUUCUGGACAGUAAGAGUGUUGUCUCCCUAGUGCCUGCCCAUCCAUGGUAGAAUUCAAUGCCAACCACCCAUAGGAAAGUAGUAAGCACUGACAGGAUAUGGAUGGCCAAAAAAACAAACAAGCAAAAAAA
This is a long non-coding RNA of Oxyura jamaicensis (ruddy duck), 703 nucleotides long. RefSeq lists it as uncharacterized. The transcript is spliced from 2 exons. NCBI's taxonomy places the organism in Eukaryota, Metazoa, Chordata, Aves, Anseriformes, Anatidae. The record is from RefSeq and is a predicted model, not a curated record.